CUGAACCAGCCAAGUAGCGUGAAGGAUGACUGCCCUAUGGGUUGUAAAUUUCUUUUAUACGGGAAUAAAGUGAGGCACGUGUGCCUUUUUGUAUGUACCGUAUGAAUAAGGAUCGGCUAACUCCGUGCCAGCAGCCGCGGUAAUACGGAGGAUCCGAGCGUUAUCCGGAUUUAUUGGGUUUAAAGGGAGCGUAGGCGGACGCUUAAGUCAGUUGUGAAAGUUUGCGG
This 227-nucleotide ribosomal RNA is filed under the name uncultured bacterium. RNAcentral's name for it is "partial 16S ribosomal RNA". It matches the Rfam family "Bacterial small subunit ribosomal RNA", at positions 383 to 607 of the family's 1533-position model. The record is from RNAcentral.